RNAcentral lists this ribosomal RNA (235 nucleotides) under uncultured bacterium. RNAcentral's name for it is "partial 16S ribosomal RNA". It matches the Rfam family "Bacterial small subunit ribosomal RNA", at positions 524 to 759 of the family's 1533-position model. The record is from RNAcentral.
UACGAAGGGGCUAGCGUUGCUCGGAAUUACUGGGCGUAAAGGGCGCGUAGGCGGACAGUUUAGUCAGAGGUGAAAGCCCAGGGCUCAACCUUGGAAUUGCCUUUGAUACUGGCUGUCUUGAGUUCGGGAGAGGUGAGUGGAAUGCCGAGUGUAGAGGUGAAAUUCGUAGAUAUCGAGAGGAACACCGGUGGCGAAGGCGGCCUUCUGGACAGUGACUGACGCUGAGACGCGAAAG